This is an RNA transcript of Eurytemora carolleeae, 2404 nucleotides long. It is a transcript of the gene named phosphatidate cytidylyltransferase, photoreceptor-specific, with no coding region annotated. NCBI's taxonomy places the organism in Eukaryota, Metazoa, Arthropoda, Copepoda, Calanoida, Temoridae. The record is from RefSeq and is a predicted model, not a curated record. The transcript is spliced from 15 exons.
AAAUGGCCACGUGACCUGAAAUUUACAGAAAAAUGUCGGAGUCGGAAUUACGCCGGCGAAAGGGGGAUGGAGGUCCGGAGGGGGAUACCGGAGUGUCGGAGUCGGAGACGGAUAAAAUGCCGAGAGAUGAGAGUGAUGCUGAUGAUAAACCAAUGAUAAACAAGAGUUUGGCGGAAACUAUUGGACAGGAUAAAAAUCCUGACUCCUUGGACGCGGCUCUAAGUGGAUUACCUCCAAGGUGGAAGAACUAUGUGAUCCGUUUUAUCUUCACCUGGUUAAUGAUCGGUGGGUUCGGGUUGAUCAUCUACGGCGGACCCUUAGCUCUCAUGAUCACCACCUUCGUGGUCCAAGUCAAGUGUUUCUCCGAGAUUAUUAAUAUCGGGUACGCUGUUUACAAGAUGGAUAAUUUGCCCUGGUUCAGGUCAAUGUCCUGGUACUUUCUCGUAGCCUCGAACUACUUCUUCUACGGGGAGAGCUUGGUGGAGUACUUCGGGGUACUUGUCAACAGGGUUGAUUUUCUCUCCUCUCUGGUGAAGUAUCACCGAUUUAUCUCCUUCACCAUGUACAUCCUAGGAUUUGUCUGGUUUGUGUUGAGCCUUGUGAAGAAGUAUUAUCUACGUCAGUUCUCCCUGUUCGCCUGGACCCAUGUAGCACUACUCAUUGUAGUCACUCAGUCAUACCUCAUCAUUCAGAAUAUGUUCCAAGGACUAAUCUGGUUUAUCAUGCCGAUCUUGAUGGUGGUGAUCAACGACGUGAUGGCGUACAUGUUCGGAUUCUUCAUGGGUCGUACUCCACUCAUCAAGCUUAGCCCCAAGAAAACCUGGGAGGGAUUUAUCGGUGGAGGAAUAGCAACUGUAUUUAUGACCCUGGGCCUCUCCUACCUAAUGUGUCAGUUCCCGUAUUUCGUUUGCCCGAUAGAGUACUCCCCGGAGUUGGAGAGGAUGACAAUGUCCUGCGAGCCCUCCGCUCUCUUCAGACCUCAGGAGUAUGCUCUCCCGCAGACUCUCACCACCUGGAGAAGGAUUCUACACAUGAAGGAAACCGUGACCCUCUACCCGUUCUUGCUCCACGCCCUCUUCAUGUCCCUCUUCGCCUCUAUCAUUGGCCCUUUCGGCGGGUUCUUCGCUUCAGGGUUCAAGAGAGCGUUUAAGAUCAAGGAUUUCGGAGAUAUUAUCCCAGGCCAUGGGGGUAUCAUGGACAGGUUUGACUGCCAGUUCCUGAUGGCAACCUUCGUCAACGUUUACUACCAUAGCUUCAUUUACGUUGUAACACCUGGCAAGCUGCUGCAGCUGGUGUUUAUGCUGAAACCUGAAGAACAGCUGGAGCUAUAUCAUUCUCUGGAGGAUUCACUGCUAGCUAGGGGGAUACUCGCCCCUCUUAAUUAGUCCGUAUUGAGGGGGACGCCGCCUCCAGCCAUGGGGGGGGGGUAUGUCACCCCUUAAUAAGUUAGGAAGGCCAGGGUAUCCUUGAGUCCCUAAUGUACUCGGAGAUGAGGGAAAAGGAUGGUAUAAUAAUCCUCUUUAAUUUCCCAGAAUUUAUCUGAUCAAAUCUUUCUGAUUAUUCAUGUCAAAGGGACUGACGUUGUAAUUUCAAGUGACUCCUAAUUGAUGGAGUGACAUGUCUGAUUCACAACAGUACCCUUAAAAACUUUGUCUGAUUAAAUAUGAAUUAGAUAUCCAUGUAUUUGAUUUGAUUUGAUUUGAUCUCUGCAAUAGUGACUUAUGAAAUUACUAGAACUAAACACUUGUUGAGCUUUAAAACGACAAUAUCUUCCACAUUUAUGAUCAGCCUAAGGUUUCAAGGUUACCGUUGUAAUACAGGGUUUCUCCUCUUUGCAAAGAGGGUCGCUUUAAAUUACGUUUACAGUCCCUUAAAUCAAAUAUUGAUGUUAGAUCUCUGAAGUACGCUAGUUCGUUUAAACGUACUGCAUAUAGUGUUGUACCAAGGAAUUUUAUUUGACACAUCAGACAUUAAAAAAAAUAUUCUAGUCUUAUUUGUGGUAUAAUUGUGUUAAAAACCCUGUGUGAUUUAAUUUUUGUCAGUAUAUUUAAAUUUUUUUUUCGUAGAUGUUUGCUAUAAAUGAUAUUAAUAGGUAUACAAUAUAAACAAUAUGACCUGAUUGCAGGCGUGUUUUUGAAGGUCAGAUAACCCCUGUUCACUUCGCUUUAAUUUGGGAAUAAAUAUUUCAAAGCUUAGUUUGAAAUAAGAAUUAAAGUUAAAAAAGAUUUUUAAGCGUUUAAAGAAAUUUUAAUUAAGUUAUUACUCAAGUUACGAAUUCGGAAUAAAAUGUAUAUUUGUAACCAACUAUAGUAUCCUGUGUGUAUUGUAUAUUCCUAACAAUAAAGGAAAAUAAAGAGCAUACAUUUUCUGUUCUUCUGUGAUUGUGAUUAUUGUAACAUAUAGA